UUAAUGAAUUGACGGGACCGCACAAGCGGUGGAUGAUGUGGUUUAAUUCGAUGCAACGCGAAAAACCUUACCACCUUUGACAUGUACGGAAUCCUUUAGAGAUAGAGGAGUGCUCGAAAGAGAGCCGUAACACAGGUGCUGCAUGGCUGUCGUCAGCUCGUGUCGUGAGAUGUUGGGUUAAGUCCCGCAACGAGCGCAACCCUUGCCAUUAGUUGCUACGAAAGGGCACUCUAAUGGGACUGCCGGUGACAAACCGGAGGAAGGUGGGGAUGACGUCAAGUCCUCAUGGCCCUUAUAGGUGGGGCUACACACGUCAUACAAUGGCUGGUACAGAGGGUUGCCAACCCGCGAGGGGGAGCCAAUCCCAUAAAGCCAGUCGUAGUCCGGAUCGCAGUCUGCAACUCGACUGCGUGAAGUCGGAAUCGCUAGUAAUCGCGGAUCAGAAUGUCGCGGUGAAUACGUUCCCGGGUCUU
This 473-nucleotide ribosomal RNA is filed under the name uncultured Comamonadaceae bacterium. Its description in RNAcentral is "bacterial SSU rRNA". It matches the Rfam family "Bacterial small subunit ribosomal RNA", at positions 904 to 1382 of the family's 1533-position model. The record is from RNAcentral. Lineage: Bacteria; Pseudomonadati; Pseudomonadota; Betaproteobacteria; Burkholderiales; Comamonadaceae.